AAGUAAGAAGCAAAGAUUGCGCUUUAGUUUCGACCUAAAAAAUUUGAUGACCACAUCCUUACUUU
This 65-nucleotide transfer RNA is filed under the name Bifidoprionus rufus. RNAcentral's name for it is "tRNA-Arg". The record is from RNAcentral. Lineage: Eukaryota; Metazoa; Arthropoda; Insecta; Coleoptera; Cerambycidae.